Molecule: ribosomal RNA, 379 nt
Filed under: uncultured bacterium
Lineage: Bacteria
Description: bacterial SSU rRNA
Rfam family: Bacterial small subunit ribosomal RNA
Source: RNAcentral
GAUGAACGCUGGCGGCGUGCCUAACACAUGCAAGUCGAGCGAUUCUCUUCGGAGAAGAGCGGCGGACGGGUGAGUAACGCGUGGGUAACCUGCCCUGUACACACGGAUAACAUACCGAAAGGUAUGCUAAUACGAGAUAAUAUACUUUUAUCGCAUGGUAGAAGUAUCAAAGCUCCGGCGGUACAGGAUGGACCCGCGUCUGAUUAGCUAGUUGGUAAGGUAACGGCUUACCAAGGCGACGAUCAGUAGCCGACCUGAGAGGGUGAUCGGCCACAUUGGAACUGAGACACGGUCCAAACUCCUACGGGAGGCAGCAGUGGGGAAUAUUGCACAAUGGGCGAAAGCCUGAUGCAGCAACGCCGCGUGAGCGAUGAAGGCC